RNAcentral lists this unclassified non-coding RNA (208 nucleotides) under Hevea brasiliensis (rubber tree). Lineage: Eukaryota; Viridiplantae; Streptophyta; Magnoliopsida; Malpighiales; Euphorbiaceae. The record is from RNAcentral.
GGCAGCUCGGCGGAUUUCUUUUUAUAGCAAUUUAUUUGAUCCGUUUCAAGAAUUUAGCUUCGAUUUGAUUUGAUUGAUCUUAGAAGUGGAAGACCCACUUGCGAAAAUUGGUAAUUCGUUAAAUUUAAUCAUCUGGGAUUGCCUUAUAUGGAGCUUCAAAAGUCGGGUUUGAGUUCAUUUUUAGGGUUUCUUCUUCUUGUGCUAUAUU